This is a long non-coding RNA of Manduca sexta (tobacco hornworm), 707 nucleotides long. RefSeq lists it as uncharacterized. The transcript has 3 exons. The record is from RefSeq and is a predicted model, not a curated record. Lineage: Eukaryota; Metazoa; Arthropoda; Insecta; Lepidoptera; Sphingidae.
CGAUACCGACUCGCGAGUGCGUGUGCGCAGAUCGAUCGAACGGUUUGAAUUUCGAAAUCGAUUUAUAGAUUAAUCUUAAAUUUAUUUUGUGCGAUACGAGACCUCAAACAUACAAUGUUUAAUUAUUAUAAGUGUUUUAAGUGUGUUACUACUUUGCAAACUCCGAUUUUAUACAGAGUGUUCAAUGGAACUUGGAUGCAAUGAAGAUUACUUUAUUCGUGCUGGUGAUGUGUUAUUCAAAUGACGUCACAUGAAACCUGACAUGGAAAAUUAAAGGAGAUUUGAAUUACAAGUCGAGCAAGCUCGUCUAUUUGGUAGACUGGGUGAGGAAGGCAAAAGAAGUAGACGAGAGGUGAGGGAUUUGAAGAAGACAUUCUCCACAGAGGCCUAAUACAUUUGAAACUAAGAUAGAAAAUGAAUAUUAAUCUUAGGACGACAGCUCCUGAAUCCAUUAACUCAUGGUAAACAUUUACCCCCUUAUUCAUAGACUUUUAUUUAAGGACGGAGUAAAGCUGUGGUAACAAGUCUUUUUCUCAGUGCUGACGGCGUGGCAGUAUUCGCAGUGCGUAGACAUAGGGCCGUUGUGAGUGGCUAAGAUUGAGAUACAACAAUCAGUACUGAGAAACAGACAGGGGUUGGAGAAUGGUCUUCACACGAGGCCUUAAACGAACUUACGACGCGUUCGAAUCGCUGCAAAAACGAUUGAG